UGUAGGCGGAGUGACCAGGUAAAUCCGGUUGCUUAUCAACGCUGAGGUGUGAUGACGAUGCACUACGGUGCAGAAGUAGUUGAUGCCAUGCUUCCAGGAAAAGCCUCUAAGCAUCAGGUAACAUGAAAUCGUACCCCAAACCGACACAGGUGGUCAGGUAGAGAAUACUCAGGCGCUUGAGAGAACUCGGGUGAAGGAACUAGGCAAAAUGGUGCCGUAACUUCGGGAGAAGGCACGCUGGCAUUAGGUAAAGGGACUUGCUCCCGGCGCCGAAGCCAGUCGCAGAUACCAGCUGGCUGCAACUGUUUAAUAAAAACACAGCACUGUGCAAACACGAAAGUGGACGUAUACGGUGUGACGCCUGCCCGGUGCUGGAAGGUUAAUUGAUGGGGUCAGCCGCAAGGCGAAGCUCUUGAUCGAAGCCCCAGUAAACGGCGGCCGUAACUAUAACGGUCCUAAGGUAGCGAAAUUCCUUGUCGGGUAAGUUCCGACCUGCACGAAUGGCGUAAUGAUGGCCAGGCUGUCUCCACCCGAGACUCAGUGAAAUUGAACUCGCUGUGAAGAUGCAGUGUACCCGCGGCAAGACGGAAAGACCCCGUGAACCUUUACUAUAGCUUGACACUGAACAUUGAGCCUUGAUGUGUAGGAUAGGUGGGAGGCAUAGAAGUGUGGACGCCAGUCUGCAUGGAGCCAACCUUGAAAUACCACCCUUUAAUGUUUGAUGUUCUAACUCGGCCCCGUAAUCCGGGGUGAGGACAGUGUCUGGUGGGUAGUUUGACUGGGGCGGUCUCCUCCCAAAGAGUAACGGAGGAGCACGAAGGUUAGCUAAUCACGGUCGGACAUCGUGAGGUUAGUGCAAAGGCAUAAGCUAGCUUGACUGCGAGAGUGACGGCUCGAGCAGGUACGAAAGUAGGUCUUAGUGAUCCGGUGGUUCUGAAUGGAAGGGCCAUCGCUCAACGGAUAAAAGGUACUCCGGGGAUAACAGGCUGAUACCGCCCAAGAGUUCAUAUCGACGGCGGUGUUUGGCACCUCGAUGUCGGCUCAUCACAUCCUGGGGCUGAAGUAGGUCCCAAGGGUAUGGCUGUUCGCCAUUUAAAGUGGUACGCGAGCUGGGUUUAGAACGUCGUGAGACAGUUCGGUCCCUAUCUGCCGUGGGCGUUGGAAGAUUGAGAGGGGCUGCUCCUAGUACGAGAGGACCGGAGUGGACGAAUCACUGGUGUUCGGGUUGUCAUGCCAAUGGCAUUGCCCGGUAGCUAAAUUCGGAAGAGAUAACCGCUGAAAGCAUCUAAGCGGGAAACUUGCCUCGA
RNAcentral lists this ribosomal RNA (1307 nucleotides) under Yersinia enterocolitica. RNAcentral's name for it is "partial 23S ribosomal RNA". It matches the Rfam family "Bacterial large subunit ribosomal RNA", at positions 1519 to 2802 of the family's 2925-position model. The record is from RNAcentral. Lineage: Bacteria; Pseudomonadati; Pseudomonadota; Gammaproteobacteria; Enterobacterales; Yersiniaceae.